GAAAGAGAAGAAGAGCGAACGGAGGAUGCCUUGGCUUCUGGUGGCGAGGAAGGACGUGGUAAGCUGCGAAAAGCCGCGGGGAUUUGCAAACAAGACUUGAUCCGCGGAUGUCCGAAUGGGGGAACCCACAUGGUUGAAGACCAUGUACCGGCGUAUUGCCGGGGCGAACGCAGGGAACUGAAACAUCUUAGUACCUGCAGGAAGAGGAAGAAAAAAUCGAUAUCCUGAGUAGUGGCGAUCGAAAGGGACAGAGCCUAAACCGUCUUGCUUACGGGCAAGGCGGGGUUGUAGGAGCCGACACGGCGUGCGUGGCGCGAACAGGAAGCAGUUGGAAAACUGCGGCAUAGACGGUGAAACCCCGGUACUGGCAAGCAAAUCGCACAAGUCGGCCACCUGAGUAGGGCGGGACACGUGGAAUCCUGUCUGAAUCAUCGGGGACCAUCCCGAAAGGCUAAACACAACCAGAAGACCGAUAGUGUACCAGUACUGUGAAGGAAAGGUGGGAAGCACCCCGGGUAGGGGAGUGAAACAGAACCUGAAACCGUUCGUUUACAAGCGGUCGGAGCUCGCGAGAGCGACGGCGUGCCUUUUGCAUAAUGAGCCUACGAGUUACUUCAUGUUGGCGAGGUUAAGGACUUCAGGUCCGGAGCCGGAGCGAGAGCGAGUCUGAAGAGGGCGCGAGUCAGCAUGAGUAGACGCGAAACCUAGUGAUCUACCCUUGUCCAGGGUGAAAGAGCCGUAACAGGCUCUGGAGGCCCGAACCAGUUUCCGUUGAAAAGGGCUUGGAUGAGGUGAGGGUAGGAGUGAAAGGCCAAUCAAACUGGGAGAUAGCUCGUACUCCCCGAAAUGUUUUUAGGAACAGCCUCGAUUGUGCCUGCAUGAGGUAGAGCUACUGAUUGGGAGAGAGGGCUUCGCCGCCUAUCAAUCCCAGACAAACUCCGAAUGCGUGCAGGUUAAGAUCGGGAGUGAGUCGCCGGGUGCUAAUAUCCGGUGGCGAAAGGGUAAGAGCCCAGACCAACAGCCAAGGCCCCCAAGAGCAGUUUAAGUUGAGACAGAACGAGGUGACAUCGCAUAGACAGCUAGGAUGUUAGCUUGGAAGCAGCUAUUCAUUCAAAGAGUGCGUAACAGCUCACUAGUCGAGCGACGUUGCGUGGAUGAUAACCGGGCAUCAAGACUGCCGCCGAAGCUUUGGACUCUUCAUUGAGUUGAAGAGUGGUAGGGGAGCAUUGACGUCGGCGUUGAAGGUGGGACGCGAGUCCUGCUGGAGCGGCGUGAAAAGAAAAUGUAGGCAUAAGUAACGAUAAUGGGUAUAUAAAUACCCACACCGAAAACCCAAGGUUUCCUGAGCUACGCUAAACGGAUCAGGGUCAGUCGGGUACUAAGCGGACCCCGAAGGGGCAACGCGAUGUGAAACGGGUCAACAUUCCCGUACCUGAUAUGCAGGACAUACAGAGACCGAGAAGUGAAACCGCUGCGAACUGACGGAAUAGUUCGUUGAAGUCCAAAGGGGCGACCUGAAGGGCGACAGUACCGGGAGCAUCCGUGCAACCGGACAACGCGGGUAAUCAUACUUGCAAGAAAAUCUGUAUGUCGCCAAGCGCAUACCAGCCCGUACCAUAAACCGACACAGGUGGGUGAGGAGAGAAUCCUAAGGUGCUCGAGUGAAUCACGGCUAAGGAACUAGGCAAAUUGACCCCGUAACUUCGGGAGAAGGGGACCCUACCCAGCGAUGGGAGGGCGCAGAGAAAUGGCCCAGGCGACUGUUUAACAAAAACAUAUGGCUAUGCGAAAUCGUUAAGAUGACAUAUAUGGCCUGACACCUGCCCGGUGCCGGAAGGUUAAGAGGGGGGCUCAGCGCGAGCGAAGGUCUGAAUCGAAGCCCCGGUAAACGGCGGCCGUAACUAUAACGGUCCUAAGGUAGCGAAAUUCCUUGUCGGGUAAGUUCCGACCUGCACGAAUGGUGU
Molecule: ribosomal RNA, 1964 nt
Filed under: feces metagenome
Description: bacterial LSU rRNA
Rfam family: Bacterial large subunit ribosomal RNA
Source: RNAcentral